GUGUCCCUCCUGCCAUGGCAUUUGCUUUGUUAAAGCCUGGUGGGGAGCUUUGAGAGUUAAUGCAGCAAAGCCAGCGUUCAAACACACUAACUGUGGCCAUCGGGUUGGUGUUUUCUCCACAACGGUGGCCCGGCUGCCCUGGCUGGGGUGGCAAUGGGGAAGUGAAGUCCCAGCUGGACACAAUCCAGGGUCCAAAUUAGCAUGGAUUUGUCAGGGGCAGACUUUCACCUGGCUCAGGAGCCUUGUCCUGGGCUGCAGCCAGCUCUUCCCACAGGUGGUGGGGGGGAGGAGCACCCCAACAGCGUGAUGGAAAGGAUGGCUGUGCUCAUGGGGUGCUGGGCUGGCUCCGCUGCACCGUGAGACAGUGCUCAGGAGGGGGCACUUUUUAAAGGUUUUGAAGUCAUACCUGGUUUAGCUUCCCAAACCCAAACCAACGCUCCCCAGCGAAUCCACACCAUCCCUGCCCUGUGCCUGUGGGCACCUCACCGGCACGUGAGCCUCGGGCCAAGCUGCGGCUUUAUGUGACUUAUUUCUAGCCAUGGGGUGAUGCAUUUCCAUUUGCCCCCUCCAGGCAGGAGCCUGUGCUCUCUCCUGAGUAAACAAGAGCAGCAUAAAGCAGCAAGUGCAGCAGAGCGGGUGCUUCUGUAGCAAUCUUGCUGCUGGAGGGAUUGCUCUUUUCCAUUUCUCUCUGCAAAAAUUUCCAUCACCUACAGUCUUUUAUUAUUUUGCACACAAGAAAUCACAACAUGAUUGCUACACCUGCAGAAGACCAGCUCUCAAAGGCUACCAAGUGUCCAAAGCUGUGUGUUCAGCCGUAAUUCUCUUCCUUCGCGCAUGUGUGUGAUGAAGAAUGUUUUAAUUACAUGAACACAUGCAAUGUUUUUCCCACAAAACCCCCUCCUCAAAUCUCACUCCCUGACCACCUGGGCCCCCGGUCUGGCUGGCUGCAAUCUCUCCUCAGCUCCUCAUCUAGUGGCCGUGCUCCUCUCCAGCUCCCUCCCUCCCCUGGAUGCCUUUCCCCGACCUCUCCCCGCAGGGCCGGAGAUACAGGGGGCCCUGCCUGCGCUGGAGCAAACUCUCCCUGGCAACAGGAGGCAGCUGGCAACCAAAGCAAAACUCCAGUCUCUGAAGAAUUCCCUUAUUAAAGAUUACCCAGCUCCCUUGCUGCUCCAAGAUGUCUCUUAGGAACUGCUCAAUUCACUCAGAAGAGAAAGAACACCACAGAUUUGGGCAGCAUCAUCUCUUGCUUACCAGUGGGGUUUCAAUGGUUGCCUGGACGGAGUUGCCUCCAGAACUGCACAACUCAGAUUACCAUCCAGCUACUUCUAGGUUGUCAUCAAAUGGGUCACAGACACUUCUGUGCCAGACUGGGUUUACGCAGCUAAUGCAGAGAGGCUCCACAGCUCAGUGCCAUUUCUACCCGAUGGUACACCUGCACCAACUCUGGCCUAACAUGAAUGCCAAGAGCUGAAUUUGGAUCUGCUGGCUAAGGCUUUGAUAUAAUAUUUACUGUGCAAUAAAUCUUCUCUGAUAUAAACUGAAUGAAAAUAUUCUGCCUGGCUGAGUGUAAGAGGACAUAUUCUCUGCACAAACUGUGUUAAGCUUUGACUUAGAGUCUAAUAGCUCUUAAUGUCUCUCCUAAGCUUUCCUGUUGGAUGUUUGCAUCAU
Non-coding RNA from Phalacrocorax carbo (great cormorant), 1668 nucleotides. Lineage: Eukaryota; Metazoa; Chordata; Aves; Suliformes; Phalacrocoracidae. The record is from RefSeq and is a predicted model, not a curated record.